UUGAUGAUUUAUUAAUUGAUAUUUUAUUUCAUGUCUAACUGCAUAUAGUUGUGAUACUUUUAGUGUUAGUGAUAUUUUUGCAUGCUUAUAUGUAGAUCACUAAUAUUAAUUGUUAAUAAUUUUCUGCGAGGAGUUGUGUGAGUUCACUUAUGUUUAAUGAUUAUCUGUAUAAGACUCGUGAACUUUUCUUCAACUUUCCCUCGGGCUUGCGAAUAUCUUUGUAUGAUUGUCAUGAUUUUAGUUGUUAUAUGCUCAUCUGAUAAUCAUAUGAUAUUGCGUAGGUAAUUAUUAUUUUAUCUUAGUUAAAUUGUGAUCCAUGACAAUUAUAUGCUUAUUUGUUUCAUGAUUGACUUUGAUAGAAUAAUAGAUGCAUGAUUAAUUCACAUUUUGAAUUAUUUAAUUGGUAUCUCUCUUUGAUGCUUUAUUGAUGUUUUAUUUGUGAAUUGAUUGUGAUGUAUUGGCACUGGUGAAAUAUUGUUGCAUAUUUCUUAAAACCAAUGGUGCUAAUAUAUUUUAGGUGUUUAAUAUUCUGAGUACAAGGGAGACAACAUAAUCUUUAUUCUGUCUCAUAUUUAUGUUCUGGAGUGGUGAGUUUCUUCAAAGAAAUUUUCUUAUCAAUUGAUUUCAACAAUUGGUAUCCACUACUCUAUUUCAUAAAUACUUCUUAGAAUAUUUUGCAUCUAUACAUGUAGCGUC
This 696-nucleotide long non-coding RNA is filed under the name Daucus carota (carrot). Its description in RNAcentral is "long non-coding RNA (DCAR_LNC006221)". Lineage: Eukaryota; Viridiplantae; Streptophyta; Magnoliopsida; Apiales; Apiaceae. The record is from RNAcentral.